Non-coding RNA from Trichomycterus rosablanca, 870 nucleotides. The record is from the annotation of a RefSeq genome assembly. NCBI's taxonomy places the organism in Eukaryota, Metazoa, Chordata, Actinopteri, Siluriformes, Trichomycteridae.
CAAAAGGCUACUGAUUGGUUGCAGCCUGUUCUCCACUGCAACCAAUGAGAGGCAUGGUGGAGUGACUGGGGGCGGGGCUUCCAGUAUAAAAGCAGCAGGAGGAAGUCACAAUUAGUGGUGAUGAGACUUUGCAUUAGCAUUUCAUGCUUCAGAGCUCUGAGAGUGUUUAUAACACCACGACUUUAACACUUCAGGACUGAAAGUUUCUGCUACAGCAGCUUCACCCACAGCUACCAUGACUUUAAUCCUCGUCUUCAUCUGCACUCUGAUCCUCUGGACUCAAGAAUCUGUAGGUCAAGUCACUGUGACUCAGACUCCUGCAGUGAAAUCUGCUCUUCCAGGAGAAACAGUUACCAUCACCUGUAAAACCAGUGCUGAUGUUGGUUACAGCAGCUCAUAUGGUCACUACUUAUUUUGGUACCAGCAGAAACCUGGAGAAGCUCCUAAACUUCUGAUUAAAUAUGCUAAUCAGGUUCUGUCAGGAAUUCCAGCUCGUUUCAGUGGUAGUGGAUCUCAUUCUGAUUUCACUCUGACCAUUAAAGAUGUCCAGAGUAAAGAUACAGGAGAUUAUUACUGCCAGAGUUACCAUUACAUCAGCAGCAAGAACCUGUUCACACAGUGUUAGAGAGUCGUACAAAAACCUCUGGGUCAGAUUGUAGAGAAGCUGCUGCAGCUGCAGGUGUUCAGUUAGAGGAUGUGAUGCAGCUGAAUAAAGCUCUGUGGAAGGAAAACAAACACUAACACACUAACUCACAACUACUGUUUGAAAUAUCUGAAUAUUCAUAAUGUCAUAAUAUAUUCUGCACAUCUACUACAACCCCAAAUCAGAAAAAGUUGGGACAGUAUGAAAAAUGGAAAUAAAAUAAAAAC